UAGAGGAAGUACAGAGUUAUAAUCUCCUU
This 29-nucleotide small RNA is filed under the name Bombyx mori (domestic silkworm). Its description in RNAcentral is "ovarian small RNA-22012". The record is from RNAcentral. Lineage: Eukaryota; Metazoa; Arthropoda; Insecta; Lepidoptera; Bombycidae.